Molecule: ribosomal RNA, 446 nt
Filed under: uncultured archaeon
Lineage: Archaea
Description: bacterial SSU rRNA
Rfam family: Archaeal small subunit ribosomal RNA
Source: RNAcentral
GGAGGUUACUGCUAUCGGUGUUCGCCUAACCCAUGCAAGUCAUAUGUUCUUCGUGAACAUGGCGUACUGCUCAGUAACACGUGAAUAACCUGCCCUUGGGACCGGCAUAACCCCGGGAAACUGGGGAUAAUUCCGGAUACCGCAUAUAUGCUGGAAUGCUUUAUGCGUGAAAUGGAUUCUUCUGCCCAAGGAUGGGUCUGCGGCCUAUCAGGUAGUAGUGGGUGUAAUGUACCUACUACCCUACAACGGGUACGGGUUGUGAAAGCAAGAGCCCGGAAAUGGAUUCUGAAACAUGAAUCCAGGCCCUACGGGGCGCACCAGGCGCGAAAACUUUACAAUGCGGGAAACCGUGAUAAGGGGACACCGAGUGCCACCAACAUUUGUUGGCUGUCCAGGUGUGUAAACUACACCUGUUAGCAAGGGCCGGGCAAGACCGGUGCCAGCAC